RNAcentral lists this ribosomal RNA (431 nucleotides) under uncultured bacterium. Its description in RNAcentral is "partial 16S ribosomal RNA". It matches the Rfam family "Bacterial small subunit ribosomal RNA", at positions 29 to 505 of the family's 1533-position model. The record is from RNAcentral.
AACGAACGCUGGCGGCAUGCCUAACACAUGCAAGUCGAACGAGACCUUCGGGUCUAGUGGCGCACGGGUGCGUAACGCGUGGGAACCUGCCCUUAGGUUCGGAAUAACUCCCCGAAAGGGGUGCUAAUACCGGAUAAUGUCUUCGGACCAAAGAUUUAUCGCCUUUGGAUGGGCCCGCGUUGGAUUAGCUAGUUGGUAGGGUAAAAGCCUACCAAGGCGACGAUCCAUAGCUGGUCUGAGAGGAUGAUCAGCCACACUGGGACUGAGACACGGCCCAGACUCCUACGGGAGGCAGCAGUGGGGAAUAUUGGACAAUGGGCGAAAGCCUGAUCCAGCAAUGCCGCGUGAGUGAUGAAGGCCUUAGGGUUGUAAAGCUCUUUUACCCGGGAUGAUACUGACAGUACCGGGAGAAUAAGCUCCGGCUAACUCCG